This 500-nucleotide ribosomal RNA is filed under the name uncultured crenarchaeote. RNAcentral's name for it is "bacterial SSU rRNA". It matches the Rfam family "Archaeal small subunit ribosomal RNA", at positions 327 to 828 of the family's 1478-position model. Lineage: Archaea; Thermoproteati; Thermoproteota. The record is from RNAcentral.
GGGGCGCAGCAGGCGAGAAACCUUAGCAAUGUGCGAAAGCACGACUGGGUCAGUCCGAGUGAUUCCUGAUAAAGGAGUCUUUUGCCUGUCCUAAAAGCACAGGUGAAUAAGGGGUGGGCAAGUCUGGUGUCAGCCGCCGCGGUAAUACCAGCACCUCGAGUGGUCAGGACGUUUAUUGGGCCUAAAGCAUCCGUAGCCGGCUCUGCAAGUCUUCGGUUAAAUCCACCUGCUCAACAGAUGGGCCGCUGGAGAUACUACAGAGCUAGGGAGUGGGAGAGGCAGACGGUAUUCAGUGGGUAGGGGUAAAAUCCUCUGAUCCAUUGAGGACCACCAGUGGCGAAGGCGGUCUGCCAGAACACGUUCGACGGUGAGGGAUGAAAGCUGGGGGAGCAAACCGGAUUAGAUACCCGGGUAGUCCCAGCUGUAAACGAUGCAAACUUCGGUGAUGCAUUGGCUUAUGGCCAAUGCAGUGCCGCAGGGAAGCCGUUAAGUUUGCCGCC